GACGAACGCUGGCGGCGUGCCUAAUACAUGCAAGUAGAACGCUGAAGGAGGAGCUUGCUUCUCUGGAUGAGUUGCGAACGGGUGAGUAACGCGUAGGUAACCUGCCUGGUAGCGGGGGAUAACUAUUGGAAACGAUAGCUAAUACCGCAUAAUAGCAGUUGUUGCAUGACAACUGUUUGAAAGGUGCAAUUGCACCACUACCAGAUGGACCUGCGUUGUAUUAGCUAGUUGGUGGGGUAACGGCUCACCAAGGCGACGAUACAUAGCCGACCUGAGAGGGGGGUCGGCCACACUGGGACUGAGACACGGCCCAGACUCCUACGGGAGGCAGCAGUAGGGGAUCUUCGGCAAUGGACGGAAGUCUGACCGAGCAACGCCGCGUGAGUGAAGAAGGUUUUCGGAUCGUAAAGCUCUGUUGUAAGAGAAGAACGAGUGUGAGAGUGGAAAGUUCACACUGUGACGGUAUCUUACCAGAAAGGGACGGCUAACUACGUG
Molecule: ribosomal RNA, 495 nt
Filed under: uncultured bacterium
Lineage: Bacteria
Description: partial 16S ribosomal RNA
Rfam family: Bacterial small subunit ribosomal RNA
Source: RNAcentral